AACCACCGAAGUUUUCAUAACACAAAUAUAUCCCUCGAGCGUAUGUAUAGGUACAAUAAACUUCUUGCGGAGAAUAUUCGCCGUUUCGCCAAAGUCAAAGCUGCAGACGGCCGAGUCGCUGUUUUAUAAGAGGGGGGAUCGGAAUGGAUAAUUUAUGCACAUACAGAGAGAUGGGGUAGUUUAAUUUAUAUCUGUACGCAACUAUGGACCGUUGCUAGAGGAAAACGAUUCUG
Molecule: non-coding RNA, 233 nt
Organism: Cinara cedri
Lineage: Eukaryota; Metazoa; Arthropoda; Insecta; Hemiptera; Aphididae
Source: the annotation of a GenBank genome assembly